Long non-coding RNA from Quercus lobata, 154 nucleotides. RefSeq lists it as uncharacterized. Lineage: Eukaryota; Viridiplantae; Streptophyta; Magnoliopsida; Fagales; Fagaceae. The transcript has 2 exons. The record is from RefSeq and is a predicted model, not a curated record.
CCGUUCGUAGCCCGCCGUUCGUGCUCUCUCUUUUCAGAAAGGUUGUGAGGCUGUCUAUUACGCCGGUUUUGACUGUGAUUUCACAGAAGCAAAAGGGGGCUCUGAGAGAAGCUUACAAGAAGAAGAAGUACCUGCCACUCGAUCUGCGUCCCAA